Molecule: ribosomal RNA, 254 nt
Filed under: Frischella perrara
Lineage: Bacteria; Pseudomonadati; Pseudomonadota; Gammaproteobacteria; Orbales; Orbaceae
Description: partial 16S ribosomal RNA
Rfam family: Bacterial small subunit ribosomal RNA
Source: RNAcentral
GAGUUUGAUCUUGGCUCAGAUUGAACGCUGGCGGCAGGCUUAACACAUGCAAGUCGAACGGUAACAUGAGUGCUUGCACUUGAUGACGAGUGGCGGACGGGUGAGUAAUGUAUGGGGAUCUGCCGAAUGGAUUGGGACAACAGUUGGAAACGACUGCUAAUACCGAAUAAUGUUGCGAGACCAAAGGGUGCUUACGGGCACUUGCCAUUUGAUGAACCCAUAUGAGAUUAGCUAGUUGGUGGGGUAAAGGCUCA